This 253-nucleotide ribosomal RNA is filed under the name uncultured bacterium. RNAcentral describes it as "partial 16S ribosomal RNA". It matches the Rfam family "Bacterial small subunit ribosomal RNA", at positions 524 to 776 of the family's 1533-position model. The record is from RNAcentral.
UACAGAGGGGGCAAGCGUUGUUCGGAAUUACUGGGCGUAAAGGGCGCGUAGGCGGCCUUCUAAGUCGAACGUGAAAUCCCCGGGCUCAACCCGGGAACUGCGUCCAAUACUGGAAGGCUUGAAUCCGGGAGAGGGAUGCGGAAUUCCAGGUGUAGCGGUGAAAUGCGUAGAUAUCUGGAGGAACACCGGUGGCGAAGGCGGCAUCCUGGACCGGCAUUGACGCUGAGGCGCGAAAGCAUGGGGAGCAAACAGG